This 58-nucleotide transfer RNA is filed under the name Hoplomyzon sexpapilostoma. RNAcentral's name for it is "partial tRNA-Ser". The record is from RNAcentral. Lineage: Eukaryota; Metazoa; Chordata; Actinopteri; Siluriformes; Aspredinidae.
AAAAAGGCAGGCAGCAACAAGGAACUGCUAAUUCUUGCACUCACAGUUAAACUCUGUG